Long non-coding RNA from Drosophila mojavensis, 1181 nucleotides. RefSeq lists it as uncharacterized. The transcript has 2 exons. The record is from RefSeq and is a predicted model, not a curated record. Lineage: Eukaryota; Metazoa; Arthropoda; Insecta; Diptera; Drosophilidae.
GAGGCAUAUAUUUUUGAUAAGCAGUAUCAAGGCAUUAUUAAUUUGUAUGUAUAUCAGCAUAUAUGUGUGUAUUUAAUGGUACGCUGUUAUCACCUGUUUGCGACGUGAACAAACAAAACACAAAUAAACUAUAAAUAAAUUCGAUAAUGACGUCGUCGUGAAUUUAUGCAAAACGCAAUAAGACAAUAAAUACAUAAGCACAUACAUAUUACAUAUGCAUAUGUAUGUAUGCGGAUCGGCACGGACAUGGACGUUGUUUGGUUCAUGGGCGUAGUUAACUUGUGCCGUCAAACAAAAACCUAGCUGUGUGCGUGAGUGUGAUAGACUAUGUUGAUGUGAACGUGUGGCUCCGCACAUAAACAUACAUAUGCAGCAGAAACAAACAUUCGCAUUCACACACACACGCGUACGCACAGUAUUGCUACAGUUGCCAUAUUGCAAAAAAUUAAAAUGUAUUUACUUCGUGAUCCCAACAAGCACACACACACAUGUAUGGAUAUAACAUUAAGUGAUCACUGCGUAUAUACUAAAUAUAUAUGAACACACUCGUACAUAUACUUAAGUAUGUAUUCACACACACACACGCACCUGUAAAUAUACACACACACACAUACAUGAUUGAAUGAACCUCCCUCAACUCUGAGCGCAAGCAGUUGAAACAACACGGCGUACUCAAGUUGCGUAUAACAACAAAUGGCACGUAGCAUAAAAUCGACUGGCCCAGGGGCAGACGUCAUCGCUCCGCGUCGUUGAAAAUAUUAGCGUUUAUUGAUUUGUCAAGAAGCAUUGGCUAGCGGAAAUGCUAAACAACAAACAAAAUAAAAGCCUGCAAUUACAAAAACAGGAAACGUUUUGCCAUGUCAGCUUUAUGCCUUAUGUUUCCGCAUUUCUUUUCGCACUUGUGUAACUUAGCCCUAAAGUUAGUUAAAGCCACUUAACGUUUUCUCGUUUAUUUACUGUACUCACUUUGCUAUUUUACUUGAAGAGCUGCCAAACUGAAAUCUAUGUUCAGAUUUUGUUAAUCUUCCACUGAGAAUUUUGUAUUGCAAAAGUAUAAAGGGAGACACUGACAAUUUAUUGUUGCAUCCAGAUAGAAAACACGCAAAUUUUUCUAUUGCGAAACCAAUUCAAAUGCUGUGUGCGGAAACACGUCCAUGAACGUCAAGCAAACGAAUCGAAAA